GCCUAAUACAUGCAAGUCGAACGAACUCUGGUAUUGAUUGGUGCUUGCAUCAUGAUUUACAUUUGAGUGAGUGGCGAACUGGUGAGUAACACGUGGGAAACCUGCCCAGAAGCGGGGGAUAACACCUGGAAACAGAUGCUAAUACCGCAUAACAACUUGGACCGCAUGGUCCGAGUUUGAAAGAUGGCUUCGGCUAUCACUUUUGGAUGGUCCCGCGGCGUAUUAGCUAGAUGGUGGGGUAACGGCUCACCAUGGCAAUGAUACGUAGCCGACCUGAGAGGGUAAUCGGCCACAUUGGGACUGAGACACGGCCCAAACUCCUACGGGAGGCAGCAGUAGGGAAUCUUCCACAAUGGACGAAAGUCUGAUGGAGCAACGCCGCGUGAGUGAAGAAGGGUUUCGGCUCGUAAAACUCUGUUGUUAAAGAAGAACAUAUCUGAGAGUAACUGUUCAGGUAUUGACGGUAUUUAACCAGAAAGCCACGGCUAACUACGUGCCAGCAGCCGCGGUAAUACGUAGGUGGCAAGCGUUGUCCGGAUUUAUUGGGCGUAAAGCGAGCGCAGGCGGUUUUUUAAGUCUGAUGUGAAAGCCUUCGGCUCAACCGAAGAAGUGCAUCGGAAACUGGGAAACUUGAGUGCAGAAGAGGACAGUGGAACUCCAUGUGUAGCGGUGAAAUGCGUAGAUAUAUGGAAGAACACCAGUGGCGAAGGCGGCUGUCUGGUCUGUAACUGACGCUGAGGCUCGAAAGUAUGGGUAGCAAACAGGAUUAGAUACCCUGGUAGUCCAUACCGUAAACGAUGAAUGCUAAGUGUUGGAGGGUUUCCGCCCUUCAGUGCUGCAGCUAACGCAUUAAGCAUUCCGCCUGGGGAGUACGGCCGCAAGGCUGAAACUCAAAGGAAUUGACGGGGGCCCGCACAAGCGGUGGAGCAUGUGGUUUAAUUCGAAGCUACGCGAAGAACCUUACCAGGUCUUGACAUACUAUGCAAAUCUAAGAGAUUAGACGUUCCCUUCGGGGACAUGGAUACAGGUGGUGCAUGGUUGUCGUCAGCUCGUGUCGUGAGAUGUUGGGUUAAGUCCCGCAACGAGCGCAACCCUUAUUAUCAGUUGCCAGCAUUAAGUUGGGCACUCUGGUGAGACUGCCGGUGACAAACCGGAGGAAGGUGGGGAUGACGUCAAAUCAUCAUGCCCCUUAUGACCUGGGCUACACACGUGCUACAAUGGAUGGUACAACGAGUUGCGAACUCGCGAGAGUAAGCUAAUCUCUUAAAGCCAUUCUCAGUUCGGAUUGUAGGCUGCAACUCGCCUACAUGAAGUCGGAAUCGCUAGUAAUCGCGGAUCAGCAUGCCGCGGUGAAUACGUUCCCGGGCCUUGUACACACCGCCCGUCACACCAUGAGAGUUUGUAACACCCAAAGUCGGUGGGGUAACC
RNAcentral lists this ribosomal RNA (1428 nucleotides) under Lactiplantibacillus plantarum. RNAcentral describes it as "bacterial SSU rRNA". It matches the Rfam family "Bacterial small subunit ribosomal RNA". The record is from RNAcentral. Lineage: Bacteria; Bacillati; Bacillota; Bacilli; Lactobacillales; Lactobacillaceae.